Molecule: small RNA, 785 nt
Filed under: Pan troglodytes (chimpanzee)
Lineage: Eukaryota; Metazoa; Chordata; Mammalia; Primates; Hominidae
Description: processed transcript
Source: RNAcentral
UGAAGACGGGGGCCUCCAGCCAUCAACGCUAUCGUUUGCAAUGGGAAGACUGUGUCUCCCUGCGGUCCCUCAGCCGGCUAGCCCCCAGCUGGGGAAUACAAAAGGCGAGAUCUGGAACCCAUCCUUUGGCUGGGAGGGCGAGAUCCGGUAGGGGGCAGUGGCCAGGAGAGCUCAAAGGAUGGCUACUGACAUGCAGAGGAAGAGAAGCAGCGAAUGCCUUGAUGGCACAUUGACUCCUUCUGAUGGACAGAGUAUGGAGAGAGCUGAGAGCCCCACACCAGGAAUGGCCCAGGGAAUGGAGCCAGGUGCGGGGCAGGAGGGUGCCAUGUUCGUCCAUGCCCGUUCCUACGAGGACCUGACUGAGUCAGAGGAUGGGGCAGCUUCUGGGGACAGCCACAAGGAGGGUACCAGGGGUCCCCCGCCGCUGCCUACAGACAUGCGCCAGAUCAGCCAGGACUUUAGCGAGCUAAGCACCCAGCUGACGGGUGUGGCCCGGGACCUGCAGGAGGAGAUGCUGCCAGGAAGCUCUGAGGAUUGGCUGGAACCCCCAGGGGCAGUUGGGCGACCAGCCACAGAGCCCCCCAGGGAGGGCACAACCGAGGGGGAUGAGGAGGAUGCCACGGAGGCAUGGCGCCUGCACCAGAAGCAUGUCUUUGUGCUGAGUGAGGCAGGGAAGCCUGUGUACUCCCGCUAUGGGUCUGAGGAGGCACUUUCCAGCACUAUGGGUGUUAUGGUGGCCCUGGUGUCCUUCCUGGAGGCAGACAAGAACGCCAUCCGCUCCAUCC